GGAGUCUGGUCCGUGUCUCAGUACCAGUGUGGGGGACCUUCCUCUCAGAACCCCUACUGAUCGAUGGCUCGGUGGGCCGUUACCCCGCCGACUGCCUAAUCAGACGCAUCCCCAUCCCUUAGCGACGAAUCUUUGCUCCUAAACCGAUGCCCGAAAAGGAGAACAUAGGGCAUUAAUCCGACUUUCGCCGGGCUAUUCCCUACUAAGGGGGAGGUUGGAUACGCGUUACUCACCCGUGCGCCGGUCGCCAUCUGAGGUUGCAAGCAAACUCAAUGCUGCCCCGCGACUUGCAUGUGUUAAGCCUGUAGCUAGCGUUCAUC
Molecule: ribosomal RNA, 320 nt
Filed under: uncultured Prevotella sp.
Lineage: Bacteria; Pseudomonadati; Bacteroidota; Bacteroidia; Bacteroidales; Prevotellaceae
Description: partial 16S ribosomal RNA
Source: RNAcentral